AGAGAGAGGAAGACCAAGGCUAGUUCGUGGGUUUUGCUGCUGUUGCUGUGCUUGCUCUAAAUGGCUUCUCAAGAGACUUCCCUCCCUCUUUUACCAAUUGCUUUUGCUUUCGUCAUGAUCAUACUUGUCCUCCACCUCCACCUCCACCUCCACCAUCCAUGAAACUCAAUAUAACACAGUUUUCUCGGAACCCUUCUUAAGUUCUUCCCUACUUACGAUAUUCAAGUCUCAAGAGAGAAGAGAAGAACUGAGGGAGCUUCCUUCAUGCUUCAAACCAUACCCUCCGGGAUGUAGCAGGUUCUGUACAACUGGUAAAUCAAAGGCCAAAAAAUGGAACACACCAAGACAAACUAAAGAAUGACACACCAAGCAGGCAGAAUGCUGGAAUGGCUGCAAUCCAAAGAGGAAAGGAAUUC
Non-coding RNA from Prunus avium (sweet cherry), 416 nucleotides. The record is from RefSeq and is a predicted model, not a curated record. Lineage: Eukaryota; Viridiplantae; Streptophyta; Magnoliopsida; Rosales; Rosaceae.